AGCAGCCGCGGUAAUUCCAGCUCCAAUAGCGUAUAUUAAAGUUGUUGCAGUUAAAAAGCUCGUAGUUGAAUUUCGGGAUUGACACAUCGGUCGUGCCUUAAGGGGUAUGAACUGGUGUAGUCAAUUUCUCACCUUCUGGAGAACCGCGAUGCCCUUAAUUGGGUGUCGCGGGGAACCAGGACCUUUACUUUGAAAAAUUAGAGUGUUUAAAGCAGGCAUUUUGCUUGAAUACAUUAGCAUGGAAUAAUAAAAUAGGACGGCAUGAUUCUAUUUUGGUGGUUUCUAGGAUCACCGUAAUGAUUAAUAGGGAUAGUUGGGGGCAUUAGUAUUCAAUUGUCAGAGGUGAAAUUCUUGGAUUUAUUGAAGACUAACUACUGCGAAAGCAUUUGCCAAGGAUGUUUUCAUUAAUCAAGAACGAAAGUUAGGGGAUCGAAGACGAUCAGAUACCGU
RNAcentral lists this ribosomal RNA (450 nucleotides) under uncultured Entrophospora. RNAcentral describes it as "SSU rRNA". It matches the Rfam family "Eukaryotic small subunit ribosomal RNA", at positions 569 to 1018 of the family's 1831-position model. Lineage: Eukaryota; Fungi; Glomeromycota; Glomeromycetes; Entrophosporales; Entrophosporaceae. The record is from RNAcentral.